Mustela lutreola (European mink) is the source of this 4957-nucleotide long non-coding RNA. RefSeq lists it as uncharacterized. The transcript has 9 exons. The record is from RefSeq and is a predicted model, not a curated record. NCBI's taxonomy places the organism in Eukaryota, Metazoa, Chordata, Mammalia, Carnivora, Mustelidae.
AGCUGGGAGGAGCGGGAGCGUCCGACCCCGUGGGCUCCAGACGGGGCUUAAAUAUCCCGGGGGCGGUGCCGCUCCUCCCACCCGCGCCCCGCGCCCGCGCCCGAAGCCCUGGACUUGAGGCGCGCGGUGAGGUCGUGCCGGUCGGCGAGACUGAGCGCGGUCGCGUGCGGGUGGCCAAGUUGGUUGGCUUUUGAGGCGAAAAAGCCCCUACCCCGUAAGAGAAACAAACAAAAAAAGGGUUCCGUGUGGGAGUCCUGGGGCUGCCUUGGCUGGAAUCGGAGUCCACCGCUCCGGACCUUGGGCGAGAAACUCAACCUUCCUGAGGUGUUUCCUCACUUGGCAGAUGGGGAAAUGACAGUUGCCUUUUGCCGGCAAUGUUGUGGGGGAGUAAAUAAGAUAAUGCACGUGAGGAGCCGAGAGCAGGGCCUGGCACCUGGCGAGGAGGGGAACAGCGCUCGGCAGAUGGUCUAGGUUGAUGGAUGAGAGAGACAGAAUCCCACAGAGGUAUCUGUACAUCACAGCAAUAAAGGAAAUGGGGAAGCCACUACUGGAACUUGGUUAACAGUAAACAAGGCUGGAGGUAGGCAUCCCAGUGUGUGUGGUGGCUCUGCUCCUCAGUGGCUGACCUGAUUUGCCUGAACCGAUAUGGCUUUUACUACAUCUCUGCUCCAGUCAGAUGGUUGGAAGAAGUGGGGGGCGCCAACAACUCAGUUGAUUUCUUCGAGUCGGAGGCUCAGACUUGGACUUGGCAAAGGACGAAGAUAGAAGUGAGGGACCUUGAGGGAGAAGACUGGCUGCAGGAAAAUGUGCAAAUAUCAAGGUUACCUGGGUCUGCUGGUCACUUCUAGUUUUUGGACUCUUGAAGAUGGUGAUCAGAUGCAGCACUAACCAGGAGAUGGAAGUGUGUACAACUGGUUAAGCCUGUAAGGUUUGGCUUUGGAAUUCUUCCUCUUCCCCUUUGGGGUUGCUUUGUCCGCAAAGCCCCUGUCCCCUGUCCCCUCAAACUGUCACCCAAGUGUUACCCCUCCUAAGGACAUUGGCAUUUUAGGAACCUACUUUUAAAUCAAAGACCCUUAAAUUCCUUUAAAUUCCAUUCUAAAGGAAUGGUGGGACAUUCCAAGCUUAGUAGGUAGGAUGGCAGAUAUUUGGGAGCCAGAUAAAGCUGGACAUAACCCUUUACUGUAGGACUCCAUAAUAUAACUCCCGUGUCCACUUCCCUCCUCUCCCCCUCCCAUCCUUCACGGCUCUCUGCAGUCUCAUCUUAGGUGAGAAGCAAGCAAGCAAAUCAAAAAAAAAAAAAAAAAAAAAAAAAAAAAAAAGAAAAGAAAAGAAAAAACAAGAGAAGAGGUAAAAAGAAUACCUGGGAUCCUAGAGAUUAUUUUCCCCCUUUACUAGCCACCAAAACGCUUGUCAUUGGGCUUGACUGUGAUAAUGAAUACUGUACAGGUGGAGGAGGAGUGAGGGCUGCGGGCUGGAGCAGAUGCAGGGGCAGGGGGUGGAGAGGUCCAGCACGGUCACUCUCUAGCUCUGCUAGAAGAGCAUCAUCUCAUCACUCAUUUACAGGGUAGAUGUAAGACCCACAACAAGCUUCAAUUUACUUAGCUAUAAAUGGCAGUUAAAAAAAAUUACAGUCUGUGCAAAUGGAAAGGGGCUAACGCUUGUAGAAGUUCAUUACAGGAGGAAAGGAAGUGAUGAGGGAGCAGGAGGCUGGCUGAGAACAAAGCAAAAGCUGGCGCCUUGCACCCCCCCUCCACCCGCUCCCCCCAUAUGUGUAGCAUUCCUCAGGCACCCCUGACUGCCAUAAAACGAUAAAUAGUUAACUUGCUGGAGAUCACAAUCCUGCAAGACAGGAGUCUCCCUUGGUUUGCAAAUGUCCUUGAGAUUUAUAACAAAGAAGUUACCUUAUCAAUAGCCCAAUUUCCAAAGACACAGAACUCAGUUCCUCAAGCCUAAUGUCACCCUCCCCUCCAUAAAAAAACCGAAGGAGGUAGAAGUAGAAGGAAAAGUAAAUAAAGUUAAAUUUCUUCUAAACCUAAAUCUCAUUAACAAGGAUGCUUGAUAGCAGGAAUGUAACAUUCCACCAGGAGACUCCCAAUUGUCUUUACUUGAUAGUAACCAGGCCUUCUAUAUCCUGAUAGUAUUCUUUGCCCCAAUAGCCCUUCUGAACACGCCUUUGUCCUCACCUACCCAACUCCUGUGUAUAUAACCAGCCACUCCUCACAACCCGGGGCAGCAGCUCUUCCUGCCCACGGGUCCUGUCCCCGUGCUUUAAUAAACCACCAUUUUGCACCAAAGAUGUCUUAAGAAUUCUUUCUUUAGUCAUCAGCUCCGAACCUCACCCCACAGAACCUGACUUAGGUUCUGGGACUUCAUCAGAAGUGCUGAAUUUCCCCAACCCAAGCUGCAAGCAACAUGGACACAGAGCACUCGAGCAUCACAGAAUGAACUCAGGGGAUUUGUUGAUUUGUAAGCAUUGACCAGGCAACCAGUGAAAGGUUGAUGAAAAUCACCCAGAAGAAAAUAAAAGGCAAGGAUCCACGCACGGGAGAUACACUGGCUGAAACACGAGCAAGAAGUUGACACCUCACACCCAUGGCGUCUUGAGAGAGACUGAAAGCCUUUUGAACUACAUGCUGACAGGAGCGCAGCUGACAACACAGUGACCUAGAUCUGCUGCCAGGGGUGCCAGAUGAGCAAGAAAACCCACAAAAUUCAAGGCCUCAGAAUCUGAAUGGGCCACUCAUCAAGGAGGAGCUGGAAAAAGCCUUGAGGGAGUCCAGAAAUUGAAGCUCUCAUCCUGGCUCCUUCAUUCAGUAGCUCUAUGACCACAGGCAAAUCACUUAGCCACUGAAGUUCAGUUUCAUCAAUGGUAAAAUGUAAGAAAAAUGACUGACAGUUUAUCUUCACUUAGAGCUUGGAGUUAUCAUUCAUUAAUAAAUAUAUCACCACAUUCCCACCAGAGGUGAGGAAGAAUUGGGCUGUUUACAACCUAAAGAUUGGGAUACCAUAUCAUUACAAACAAGGCUGAAUGUGAAAAAGAUGUCUGAACUUGGAAUCCAUAGUGGACCAUGAGGUGAUGUGCUAAGAAUAGUGGAGCAGCAAGAUAGAAGGAGUUGGGUCCCUGACUCCUGGAACCACCAUCCCAACCCUGGGUUAUUUUCUGUUGGACCUCUUUGUCAUAAGAGAGAAAUGAUUUCUAUCUUCUUUAGACUACUGUUAUUUUAGUUUUCUUGUCACAUGUAAACUUAGCCCUAAUUCAUAAAAUAAUCAUCUAUUCAAGACCCUAGUGCUAAAUGCUGCACCUGCUGUAAAGAUAUAAAGGUUUUUAGAUACCCAAAGAAUUGACCAGGAAGGCUCUGUCUGGUGUGAAGGAAAUGCUAAGAAAGGUUUGGCCUGGUAGGGCUAUGUGGAUAUGAAGAGGAUUUUAUAAGAUGAAGCCAGGGAAUAUUAUGGAAGGAGCUUAAAUGCCAGGCUAAUGACAUUGGACUUGACCCAGUGAUGGACAAACAGAGCAAGUAAGCUUGCCUCCAAUUUGUGAAUGAAGAAAACCAGGCCUUAUCAGAUUAUAGGACUUGUUCAAGGAUACCCAGCUGGUAAGCUGAAGAGCCAGAGCCAGUCUCAAUUCUGACACUUGCACCCAUGCCAUCCCAUAGUUCUGAUGUCUUUGACGGAAUCUGGGGGAAAAGAGUAGGAAUGGAGAUUUUGCACUUUGGCAUAGCCAGGGAACUAGACUGUGCCCCUCUUCAUAUCCCCACACCGUUAAGAGGAAGCUUUGGAGGGUUGCUAGAAGUUUAGGAUCCAGACCUACCUUGAAGUCAGAGGACCUUCUCGGCUUCUGGCUUAAGCACCCCCAUGAGGCUACAGUGGCCAAGGUGCUGCUUUGCUAUGUGGUAAGUUCUCAUGUGGCAGGCACAGUGCUGGGCACUCUGUACACAUUAUGUAAUUUAGUGCCUUCAGUAGUUUGACAAGAAAGUUAUAAUACCACUCCUAUCUUACAACAAAGAUGUAGAAACUGAGGCUCUAAGAAAUGAAACCACCAACCAAAGUUGAUGGCAGAGUUGAACUUCAAAGCCACAUUUGUUCAACUCCAAAGCUGAGUUCUUAGCCCCACAUUCUAAUGUCUUCCCAAUCCCUGUCACCAAAGCAUGGAAUAGUAUCCUAUUACUACUCAGACACCAAGGACUUACCGGGUUUAGUAGGCUGACGAGUACCAGAUUCCCUCUGUGCGCAUUCCACCUAUAGUUGGGAGUCAACCUCCAAUCCAAUAAUCCUAUCAACCAUGCCUUACACGUGACCCUCACAUGGGUGAGGGAUCUCCUGGAGAGGUAGACCCACAGAUGCUCAGAUCUUUGUGGCCUCAAGCCUCCCAGGGUUCUUUGUCUUGGCUGGUCAUGUGGCUAGGAUGUCAGAGUCCUCCCAUUCUAGGUUCUAGAAUUCACAAAUUCCAAUGAGCUGUUUCAUGGAAUCAGGGACACUACAUUCUUUGUGUCCUUCCUGUGGCUGCCAUGGUUAGAAUGCAUUUGUUAUGAUUUGCACUGGCAUUCAGUCAAUAAACAACUGGUCAUUGGAAUUGAAUCUCCUAUCAUUGCCAACAUUUGGAAAAUUGCAUUUUAUUUUGCUGGUUAUCCAGUGCGCAUCUUUCCAGUAAUGUGGUAUGUCCAGUGUUCCAACACAAACCACAUAUUCCCCUAAGCUGACCACACUGGUUUUCUUCUGGAACUUCCAUAGGAAACACCCUGAGAUGUAGCCUGUAGAGCUGAAGGCGACUGAUGGACCCCUAUCUCCUCUGCAUUCUCUGCUCAACAGAGACAAACUACUUUGUCAGGUUUUGCCCUGGGUCAUCACCCACCACCCAAUUCUUGUGCAACCUCCCUUCCUAUUGGAAAAACUUCUUCCUUUCCAUGCUCAGCCUGCGAUUCUCACCCCACACCCUCUUGCUAAUCAGGCUGAAGAUGGA